Molecule: ribosomal RNA, 600 nt
Filed under: uncultured bacterium
Lineage: Bacteria
Description: bacterial SSU rRNA
Rfam family: Bacterial small subunit ribosomal RNA
Source: RNAcentral
GCUACCUGAUUCAGCGGCGGACGGGUGAGUAAUGCCUAGGAAUCUGCCCGAUAGUGGGGGACAACGUUUCGAAAGGAACGCUAAUACCGCAUACGUCCUACGGGAGAAAGUGGGGGAUCUUCGGACCUCACGCUAUCGGAUGAGCCUAGGUCGGAUUAGCUAGUUGGUGAGGUAAUGGCUCACCAAGGCGACGAUCCGUAACUGGUCUGAGAGGAUGAUCAGUCACACUGGAACUGAGACACGGUCCAGACUCCUACGGGAGGCAGCAGUGGGGAAUAUUGGACAAUGGGCGAAAGCCUGAUCCAGCCAUGCCGCGUGUGUGAAGAAGGUCUUCGGAUUGUAAAGCACUUUAAGUUGGGAGGAAGGGCAGUAAGCUAAUACCUUGCUGUUUUGACGUUACCAACAGAAUAAGCACCGGCUAACUCUGUGCCAGCAGCCGCGGUAAUACGAAGGGUGCAAGCGUUAAUCGGAAUUACUGGGCGUAAAGCGCGCGUAGGUGGUUCAGCAAGUUGGAUGUGAAAUCCCCGGGCUCAACCUGGGAACUGCAUCCAAAACUACUGAGCUAGAGUACGGUAGAGGGUGGUGGAAUUUCCUGUGUAG